Mytilus californianus (California mussel) is the source of this 1378-nucleotide long non-coding RNA. RefSeq lists it as uncharacterized. NCBI's taxonomy places the organism in Eukaryota, Metazoa, Mollusca, Bivalvia, Mytilida, Mytilidae. The transcript is spliced from 3 exons. The record is from RefSeq and is a predicted model, not a curated record.
AUUAAAUCCGCUAUAGAAUUUGUCUGUGUAGUUAAAGAGUGUCUAUUGUCAAGACUUGACAAACGGGUAGAGCGCAUUCUUAUGAGAAGGCGUGCCCCACAAAACACACUUUCGAUACAGAGGCCAUUAGUCGAACAGGGCUACAGGAAUAAUCAGGAACCAUGAGGUGGAGAAAUUUAUAUAUAAUGAUUCUGUGGUUCGCCACUAUAGCACUAGUUUUGAAGAUUUUAGGAUAUCUUCUGCCAUGGUGGUUUGUGGCUCGUGCAACAGGAUCAGAGACGGACCGAUUCUUUAUUGGAAUUGUGUUUGGUCUAGACUGUGCUUCUAAAGUCAGUGUACAGAACUGUACAGAAUACUCGAUUGGAAAUGCUCCUGUUGAAAUUGCGUCAUUAGUGGAGUCUGCCUCUAUGCUGACAUUACAGAUAGCGAUGUCUGUCAAUUUGGGCCUCCUGUUUAUUUCCUGUAUGAUCAUUGUCGGUUCCUCCGUUACCAAGACUUAUAACCAAGGACUUAUGGUCUUGACCGGUAUACUAGUAGCAUUUUCGUGUGUGGCUUACUGUGUGAGUUUAGGAUUUUUUAUCUACAUCCAUAUCAACGAUAUCAAGAAAAUAGAAACAUACGAGUACAACGCCACCAACUUCCCAUGGUCCAUGUUGGUUACUUCAGUAGCAGCGCUCUUCCUUUUUGCUACGUUGAUUCUAUUGGUUGUCGCUCUUUGUAGAUGGCACGACGAUGACGAAGAUAGUCUUGUUAGUUACGACGAAAGAAAGAGAGUUGAGUAUCCAGCUGAAACAAGAUACGUGACAUAUGACAACCCGAACUCCAAACAAUACAUGAUGGAGCGUCCGGUGGUUCAUUCGAGUAACAGCAGAGGUUAUAAGUAUGCAGUUGACGCGCCGAGGUCACACAUGCAAGCGAUUACAUAUCCAGCUGAAACUAUGUAUAGACCGUACUCCGCUGCUAGGAGAUACUAGACCAAUUAUGGUGCUAGUUUGGGGUUUUAGUUCAUAAAAUCCCUCAAUUUGAUUGUAAAGGGUAUUAAUAAUUAACAGUUAACUUUGUUAUUAUGUUUAUUAUGUAUACAAGUGUUUGAAAGUUAAGAUGGAAACUUGUAGCAUCUUGGUGCAGCUUCUCCGAAAACAGCAACCAGUCGAGUACUUUAAAAGUACAUACGAACAACUUCCAUCAAAGAUCUCGGUAUCUACUUACAUAAAUAAAUAAUGUAUAUAUCCUACAUUAAUACUAGUCGUAAUACUCACCCCAUAGGCAUAAUAUAUUUGAAAUUAUAUUUAUCGUAAACCUUCAGUAUGUUUGUACUUCAUGACAUUUUUAUAUUAGCGACAAAAAUCACAUUUUGCAAUAAACACCUCUAUAUAAA